AACGAACGCUGGCGGCAUGCCUAACACAUGCAAGUCGAACGAGACCUUCGGGUCUAGUGGCGCACGGGUGCGUAACGCGUGGGAACCUGCCCUUAGGUUCGGAAUAACUCCCCGAAAGGGGUGCUAAUACCGGAUAAUGUCUUCGGACCAAAGAUUUAUCGCCUUUGGAUGGGCCCGCGUUGGAUUAGCUAGUUGGUAGGGUAAAAGCCUACCAAGGCGACGAUCCAUAGCUGGUCUGAGAGGAUGAUCAGCCACACUGGGACUGAGACACGGCCCAGACUCCUACGGGAGGCAGCAGUGGGGAAUAUUGGACAAUGGGCGAAAGCCUGAUCCAGCAAUGCCGCGUGAGUGAUGAAGGCCUUAGGGUUGUAAAGCUCUUUUACCCGGGAUGAUAAUGACAGUACCGGGAGAAUAAGCUCCGGCUAACUCCGC
RNAcentral lists this ribosomal RNA (432 nucleotides) under uncultured bacterium. RNAcentral's name for it is "partial 16S ribosomal RNA". It matches the Rfam family "Bacterial small subunit ribosomal RNA", at positions 29 to 506 of the family's 1533-position model. The record is from RNAcentral.